AUGAUUACCCUGAACGGUGGAUCACUUGGCUCGUGGGUCGAUGAAGAACGCAGCUAAUUGCGCGUCAACUUGUGAACCGCAGGACACAUGAUGAACAUCGACAUUUUGAACGCACAU
RNAcentral lists this ribosomal RNA (117 nucleotides) under Promuscidea unfasciativentris. RNAcentral's name for it is "partial 5.8S rRNA". It matches the Rfam family "5.8S ribosomal RNA", at positions 1 to 111 of the family's 154-position model. From Rfam's summary of the family: 5.8S ribosomal RNA (5.8S rRNA) is a component of the large subunit of the eukaryotic ribosome. Lineage: Eukaryota; Metazoa; Arthropoda; Insecta; Hymenoptera; Pirenidae. The record is from RNAcentral.